AGAGUUUGAUCCUGGCUCAGGAUGAACGCUGGCGGCGUGUCUUAGGCAUGCAAGUCUAAUGGAAUUUAUUCCAUGGCAGACGGGUGAGUAUAGACAGUGGUAACCUACCCCAGAGUCGCGAAUAACCAUACGAAAGGAUGGAUAAUACGCGAUGGAAUAGACAGUGGUAACCUACCCCACAAGGGGGGAUAUAAAUCAUUCCCUUGUAAAGAUUUAUCGCUCUGGGAGGGGCCUUUGCCCUAUCAGCUUGUUGGUGAGGUAAAAGCUCACCAAGGCAUUGACGGGUAGCGGGUGUGAGAGCAUGACCCGCCACAUUGGCACUGAAACACUGGCCAAACUCCUACGGGAGGCUGCAGUCGAGAAUCUUCCGCAAUGCAGGAAACUGUGACGGAGCGACGCCGCGUGCCGGAAGAAGCCCUUCGGGGUGUAAAUGGCUUUUAUCAGGGAGAAAUUCGUGAUGUUACCUGAUGAAUAAGAGGUUGCUAACUACGUGCCAGCAGCAGCGGUAAUACGUAGACCUCAAGCGUUAUCCGGAUUUAUUGGGCGUAAAGAGCUAAAAGGCGGUUUAGAAAGUUGGGUAUCAAAGCCCGGGGCUCAACCUCGGAUCUAUAUCCAAAACUCCUAAACUAGAGGGUGGAAGAGGCAAGCGGAAUGGCUGGUGUAGCAGUAAAAUGCGUUAAUAUCAGCUAGAACACCGAUGGUGAAGGCAGCUUGCUGGUACACUCCUGACGCUAAAUAGCGAAAGCGUGGGUAGCGAAUGGGAUUAGAUACCCCAGUAGUCCACGCCGUAAACGUUGAGUGCUAGGUAUCGGGGAUUCGACCCC
Molecule: ribosomal RNA, 824 nt
Filed under: uncultured bacterium
Lineage: Bacteria
Description: bacterial SSU rRNA
Rfam family: Bacterial small subunit ribosomal RNA
Source: RNAcentral